RNAcentral lists this ribosomal RNA (162 nucleotides) under Cheirospora sp. RNAcentral describes it as "partial large subunit ribosomal RNA". It matches the Rfam family "Eukaryotic large subunit ribosomal RNA", at positions 99 to 261 of the family's 3401-position model. Lineage: Eukaryota; Fungi; Ascomycota; Leotiomycetes; Helotiales; Mollisiaceae. The record is from RNAcentral.
CGGCAACAGCUCAAAUUUGAAAUCUGGCCCUCGGGUCCGAAUUGUAAUUUGUAGAAGCUGCUUUGGGUGUCGGCCCGGUCUAAGUUCCUUGGAACAGGACGUCAUAGAGGGUGAGAAUCCCGUAUGUGAUCGGUGCCGUUGCCCGUGUAAAGCGCUUUCGAC